RNAcentral lists this ribosomal RNA (673 nucleotides) under Candidatus Rhizobium massiliense. Its description in RNAcentral is "bacterial SSU rRNA". It matches the Rfam family "Bacterial small subunit ribosomal RNA", at positions 16 to 738 of the family's 1533-position model. Lineage: Bacteria; Pseudomonadati; Pseudomonadota; Alphaproteobacteria; Hyphomicrobiales; Rhizobiaceae. The record is from RNAcentral.
AUCCUGGCUCAGAACGAACGCUGGCGGCAGGCUUAACACAUGCAAGUCGAACGCCCCGCAAGGGGAGUGGCAGACGGGUGAGUAACGCGUGGGAACAUACCCUUUCCUGCGGAAUAGCUCCGGGAAACUGGAAUUAAUACCGCAUACGCCCUACGGGGGAAAGAUUUAUCGGGGAAGGAUUGGCCCGCGUUGGAUUAGCUAGUUGGUGGGGUAAAGGCCUACCAAGGCGACGAUCCAUAGCUGGUCUGAGAGGAUGAUCAGCCACAUUGGGACUGAGACACGGCCCAAACUCCUACGGGAGGCAGCAGUGGGGAAUAUUGGACAAUGGGCGCAAGCCUGAUCCAGCCAUGCCGCGUGAGUGAUGAAGGCCUUAGGGUUGUAAAGCUCUUUCACCGAUGAAGAUAAUGACGGUAGUCGGAGAAGAAGCCCCGGCUAACUUCGUGCCAGCAGCCGCGGUAAUACGAAGGGGGCUAGCGUUGUUCGGAAUUACUGGGCGUAAAGCGCACGUAGGCGGAUAUUUAAGUCAGGGGUGAAAUCCCGCAGCUCAACUGCGGAACUGCCUUUGAUACUGGGUAUCUUGAGUAUGGAAGAGGUAAGUGGAAUUCCGAGUGUAGAGGUGAAAUUCGUAGAUAUUCGGAGGAACACCAGUGGCGAAGGCGGCUUANGGUCCAUU